ACUGAUCGUUUCUCGUCUCUGCAGGAAGACCAACGGGAAAAAGGAACAAAAGGGAUCUUUUCAGAGUCCAACGGUCACAUGGAAUGGGAAAGGAAAACCAAGCAGCAUUUAUGGGUCGCAGUGGCGGACCUCGAGCAGUGAGUGAGGAAAGACUCCUCGUUAAUGACAUUACUGUCUCUUUAAAACUAGAAGCACGCGUAACUUGGAUGUAACGCUUCUAAAUCUAUUUUAAUUCCUCUAUUUGUAUAUGUUCAUUACCUCUCUUCAAGAAGAAAACAGAAAGAAUAUAUAAAGAAGAAACGAUCGUGACGGCAAGGAAAUAGAUCUAUGUCAAACGGUGCGAACCAUAAGUCGCGGUGAAGUUCUACCGAACCUCAACCAUGAUGCAGAAGGAAAAUCCUCAAUAGCGAAAGAUAAGAACACAUCGAUGACGACCAAUGUACAAAUCACACAAUACGAAAAAAAACAAGUUACACAUACACUUUAGUGCGUUAAAACCAACAAAGCAAGAAGUAAGGGUCUAAGGACUUACCAGCUCGAGAUGCUUUGGAGGCGAGUGGGUAGGUAUGCGUUUUUGUCUACUUUUCCUUUCCAUCGAUAUCUCUUUGUAUUACUCUCGUUCGUAUGUUGUUGAAGGUCCUGAGCUAUUCCACCUUGGUUUUCAGUGUGAAAAUCAAAGUUGAGGUUUCUAACUGAGCUUUGAGUGCAUGUUUUCAGAGGAAUUUCACUAGGGGUUCGAUACCGCCCUUUUCUCAAUGGUCGUGGUUCUCUUAUAUAGAGAGAUGGUACGAGGUUUGGGGUCCUGUGAGCUGGAAAAUCAUUCCGUUAGAAAAUAGAUUCUUUCAGAUUUGGUGGUCCCAUAAAUGAAUGUGUGUGACGAUGUUUGUAGGCUCUUCUUGAUGCGUGGUUGCUAAUGUAGCUGAUGAGUAAAUCUAUCCUUUGCUCAAAUGGAGGCGGGAAGUAGGCCAACGAAAACCUCCUUUCAAAUGCUACAAACUGUUGGAUAUAUUUUCAUCACCUUGUACUCUAAGUUAAGAUUCAAACGCUUUUGUGAUACCGACUUUUAACAAUCAUUUUGGUAUUUUGAUGAACUUAUUAUUGAUCUGACUUGUGCUUGUAAUAUGAUGCUACGCCUGGUUUUGCAGCUGUCAUGGCUGUCACUUUUUGGCGUUCUGGGACUGUUAGAUCGUUGUAGUAUAUGACAGGUUAAGCCAUGUAUGUCAUAGUCAUAACAGGGCAUUUGUUCGGCAGAAUUGCAAGGCAAGGCUUGGCGCAUUGUGGGCUCAUGGUAUUGUAUCGGUGAACUGAUAUGACAGGAGCAUCCCACCUGUUUGAGUUGCUAUAUGGCUGAGUGAAACGUACUUGCAAGCGCUGAGGCUAUUCUCCCAAAUGUUGCAGAUUGUUGAACUCUUAAUGUGAGUAUUGCUCGUGGAUUAUGAUACAGACAUGAACAACAUUUAGGCUUUGCACUUGUGGACCAUGACCUUCUUUAUUCCAAGGUGGACUUCGGGUUUGUGAUGUUUUGCAUUAGUCUUAGCUUUAUCAUGUGUGCUGCUUAACCAUUGUUGCGGUCUCGCGAUAACAUCGUCUUGAGCCACUUCUAUCACAAUAAGCCAGGUGUAUUUGUUUUUAUUUGCCCUGUUUACUUCUUGACAUUGAUUUAACCAUGCUACGAAUUAUGACUUGUGAUUCAUUCGGGCAUGUUUGUGGCGUACAGGUCUCGUUGUAUGAUUUCGGUGUGAACAAGAUAGCUCUGCAAUGUUCAUCCUAUAUUAUGAUCGACCGAUAUGCAUUGCCCUGUUGGUUGAAGCUCACUAAAGAUCAAUAUUUGUUCGUGAUUUUGCAGACCUCACCUUCGAUAUCCUUUGGCCACGUUUGGACUAUUUGUUACCCUGCCAUGUCUUGUUUGUACAGAGUAAUGACUUAGGUUAUAUUGUAAAUCCAUUAGACCACGUUAAACAUGUAUUUACAUCACAAUUUGAAAUGUACACGGGUUGUUCGGAAUUGGAGCAAGUGAUUGUAUGCUGCCCUGUUAGUUUGUAUGCGGAAAAAUGUGAUAUGGUAUGUGACCAUAUUUUGAAAAUGUAUUGUACCUAUGGUUUCCAUCAUGAAUCACAAUGAGCCAAAGAUGGAUUAUGGAUAAAUAAUGAAAGGAAUUAUGUCUCUUGGUUUGUGUAAGU
Molecule: long non-coding RNA, 2180 nt
Organism: Lathyrus oleraceus (garden pea)
Lineage: Eukaryota; Viridiplantae; Streptophyta; Magnoliopsida; Fabales; Fabaceae
Exons: 3
Source: RefSeq, a predicted model, not a curated record